UAAAUAGCGACAGCACCGUGACACGCAACACUGACCGAGCAGCCAACUGUUUAUGGCCAACGAAUGGAGUUACUACACCGCGACAACUUGACAUGGAACACACCAUACACUGUGCCACUACACGCGCCCUCCUUCGAAGGGAAGUCCAUCAUGGGCAGGUGGUCACGAAUCAUGGUCACCCUGUCCGGUGUCGGCUUCCCUCAUACGCUCUGUCAAACAAUUAGGAGAAGGUAGGUGGGCAUUAGCUACUUCGCUUGAAAAACGUAUAUUUCAAGACAAAGCGGCGUGGAACUUUUUUAAAAAUAACGGUUGCAUGGGUUGUACGAUGCCGCCAAAUCUAUAUAGAACUUUCACUUGUAGUAUAUACGUAGAGAUAGUUUUGAAUUUUUAUGUUACGGCAAACGUACAUGUGAGAAAAUCUUGAGUGAAAGUAAGAUACAUGUGUAUGAUUUUAAUAUAAUAAUAAACAUGGCUGUAAUAACAAAGUACAAGAAAUAGCUUGUAUAUAAUAAAGAACUAAGGUACAUAAUAAAAUAAUGAAAUGUUUGU
Molecule: unclassified non-coding RNA, 549 nt
Filed under: Bombus terrestris (buff-tailed bumblebee)
Lineage: Eukaryota; Metazoa; Arthropoda; Insecta; Hymenoptera; Apidae
Description: misc RNA ENSBTSG00005031338.1
Source: RNAcentral